Numida meleagris (helmeted guineafowl) is the source of this 1196-nucleotide long non-coding RNA. RefSeq lists it as uncharacterized. The record is from RefSeq and is a predicted model, not a curated record. Lineage: Eukaryota; Metazoa; Chordata; Aves; Galliformes; Numididae. The transcript has 3 exons.
ACCCAGACGCUGUCAGAGUGUGUGUUCCUCAAUUCAUCAUGAUUUUUCCCAGUUUGGGUCAUCACUGUCUUGUGUAGGACAAAGAAAAGAAACUUUUGAAGAAAGGAAUUUAUCUUUCCAUCUAGACCAUAGUUUCUUACCAAGAUAAACACCAGUGAUGACACCAUGAGAAGAGUGGUCUCCCCUGUGUCACAGAAUCACAGGUGUUGGAAGGGACCUCAAGAGAUCAACUGCAUCUACAAUUCUUUUGUGUUGAGAAUGAAAAGAGAAAAACAAUUAACCAUGCAACUAUGUACUAUUGUAUAGUAUCUUACUAAAUUUGCUAAGCAAAUUCUCCACUGAGAUUUUUACUUGAGGAAAAAAAAUGCAAAACUCAGCCCUCAGCAAUGACACUUCCUACUAAAAUGAGGUGUUGGAAUCAACAGAUGAUCUUCUGAACAACACUAACAGCUUGGCAUGUCUUGGCAGUUCCAGGAAACUCUUAAGUUUAUGAAUCUGAAUGCAGAGCUUGAUGUAUUUGUUUUUCAUAAGAAGUAUCUGUCCCAAGGGAUGGUGUUUCUAUUUCAGCAUUUUACCUUCAGCUGUCUGCUUGUCCUUUGAUAGGUAGAUGUAUUUCCCAAGUAAAUGAAUCUGUACUUACCUUAGAAAAAUAUACAAAGACAAAAAAAGUUAUGCUUACUUCUACCAGAUCUGAAAGAUCAGACCCUACUGUUUGAAGACUUUAAAACACUAAACUGGAAUGUAUUUUUAUUUUUAGUUGAAUGUGACCUUUCAAAGUACCAGUUAUUUCUCUAGAUAGCUUCAAAACGUGACAUCUCUAUUGUGUAAGAACUCUUCGAUAAUCCACAGUCUCAACUGGUCUACUUCAGAAAGAGAAAGGGCAGACUAAAGUAUGAUUCUCGUGAAAUGUCAGAUAAAAAAUCAGAAUAAAUGUUUGUGUCAAAUUAUUUUAAUAGUUUAUGGAAUACACUUUAAUAGUAUUAAAUUGUGCUAAGCCAUGUGUGUCUGAAUAUGUUCUAAAAACUGAAAUACAAACUACCUGAUUAUGAGGAGAGCAUGAUUACUUUUUAAACAGUUCAACAUGAUAUAGGCAAAGCUGAGUUCUUGUUUGUCUAAACUCAUAUUUUCUAAGUUCAGUAUUUAAUAAAGACGAAGAUCUGAGCAAUUAUUUCUUGUGCAGAAAUAAACAGAUAGCU